RNAcentral lists this transfer RNA (69 nucleotides) under Yemmalysus parallelus. Its description in RNAcentral is "tRNA-Met". The record is from RNAcentral. RNAcentral also lists the same sequence under 1 other name. Lineage: Eukaryota; Metazoa; Arthropoda; Insecta; Hemiptera; Berytidae.
AAAAAGAUAAGCUAAAUAAAGCUAUUAGGUUCAUACCCUGAUUAUAGAAUUUAAAAGUUCUUCUUUUUA